AUGACAUGUGCUGUGGUUGAAAGUCGAUGUCAGUCGCAGACCAAGCGAUCCACGUAAGGCAUCCAAAGCGAUGCUGAUCAUAGUGCGGCCUAGAAGUAAGACCUGCCGCGUAAAAAAACGCGAGAGGGCCAGUAGUGGGGGGACAAGACGUCUAUGAAGCGAACGUCCCMGCAGGCGAGUGUGGGGGUAAAGACCAGGUCAGGCAUGUCGG
Molecule: non-coding RNA, 211 nt
Filed under: unclassified sequences
Description: raiA RNA
Rfam family: raiA RNA
Source: Rfam by way of RNAcentral